This 253-nucleotide ribosomal RNA is filed under the name uncultured bacterium. Its description in RNAcentral is "partial 16S ribosomal RNA". It matches the Rfam family "Bacterial small subunit ribosomal RNA", at positions 524 to 776 of the family's 1533-position model. The record is from RNAcentral.
GACGAACCGAGCGAACGUUAUUCGGAAUCACUGGGCUUAAAGGGCGCGUAGGCGGGCGAUCAAGUCAGGGGUGAAAGCCCCCAGCUCAACUGGGGAAGUGCCUCUGAUACUGGUCAUCUCGAGGGAGGUAGGGGCGUGCGGAACUUCCGGUGGAGCGGUGAAAUGCGCAGAUAUCAGGAGGAACACCGGUGGCGAAGGCGGGUCUCUGGGCCGAUACUGACGCUGAGGAGCGAAAGCGUGGGGAGCGAACAGG